AGUGAACGCUGGCGGCAGGCCUAACACAUGCAAGUCGAACGGUAACAGGAAGAGGCUUUCCUCUUUGCUGACGAGUGGCGCGGGGGUGUGAAAUGUCUGUGAAACUGCCUGUUGGAGGGGGGUAACUACUGGAAACGGUAGCUAUAACCCCAUAAAGUCGCUAGAGCAGAGAGGGGGACCUUAGGGCCCCUUGCCCUCAUAAGUGCCCAGAUGUGAUUUGCUAGUGGGUGGGGUAAAGGCUCACCCAGGCGACGAUCCGUAGCUGGUCUGAGAGGAUGACCAGCCACACUGGAACUGAGACACGGUCCAGACUCCUACGGGAGGCAGCAGUGGGGAAUAUUGGACAAUGGGCGCAAGCCUGAUGCAGCCAUGCCGCGUGGAUGAAGAAGGCCUUCGGGUUGUAAAGUCCUUUCAGCGGGGAGGAAGGGAGUAAGGUUAAUACCUUGGCUCUUUGACGGUACCCGAAGAAGAAGCACCGGCUAACUCCGUG
This 490-nucleotide ribosomal RNA is filed under the name uncultured bacterium. RNAcentral's name for it is "partial 16S ribosomal RNA". It matches the Rfam family "Bacterial small subunit ribosomal RNA", at positions 29 to 507 of the family's 1533-position model. The record is from RNAcentral.